CUUCCCGGUGAGCCCAGAGCCCGACUUGGGGCUCGUUCUCGGACCGUGAGAUCACGACCUGAGCUGAAACCAAGAGUUGGAUGCUUAACUAACAAAGCCAUCCAGGUGCCCCUUUGCUGUUUUCUUGAUGCACAUGUUUUCCUAGGGGAUGGAUCUGAGCUUUCAUCUGAUGCCCUGCCUUCCGAAGUGGCCCAUUCCUUAAUGAUCUUAACUAAUUCCGUUAUAGUCAUUGUUUAACUCUCCAGAAAUUUACUGUGCAUCUUAGUUGGUGGGGGCCACUGCGGUCCAGGAGUUGUAAAUGCUCUGCUCAUUUGGACCGUCAGGCCUACUUCUUCCUUUCCAAGGCUUCCAGGCUUGUGGUGGAACGAGGCCCACCUGAUGGGAAUCUACUCCUUGCUCCUGGGCCAGGGGAAAUCAGUCUGCAGGCAGAGAGGAAUUCCCAUUUAGCCUGAAGCACACGCUUCCCGUGCUUCUAGGACCAGCUGCAUUCCACCCGUGAUGCUAUAAAAACACAGGAAGGAAGGGAAACGUGUUCACAGGUUGGUUAGAGAUUUUAAGCCGACAAUCAGGUCUCUUGUAGCCACAAGGGACCAGAAUCCACUCCUGGCUCUUGGUCAGUUAGGCCCGCAGCUCAGCCCCACAGGGCGCCCUUUCAAAAGUGCAGUAAGAUUCUCUUUGCUAAUGGCUUUUUCCGUGAACCUCAGCCAGUGAGUAUAUUCUUUGAGGAUUACAAUUGGACUAACGCACUCAGGAAUCUUUAGAGAGAAGCAUCAUUUUGUCCUCAAGCUGUUUGAAGGCCACUGAGGCUUGGAACCUUCCAGAGACUAACUGGAGGAGGGCAUCCGAAAGCGUCCGGUAAGUGAACAACAACCCUUCCUUGGACGCUGCUUUUGUCAAGAGUCUGUCCGUGCGGUCAGGAGAGAGACCCACAGGCAGAAGGCCCCAGUAAGCCAGCGUGGUGACUUUGGGAGAGUCGCUUGACUACCCCAGCCCCUGCUUUCCUCCUUUACAGACCGAAGGCGUUGGCUUACCAGGAUUUUAAAGUUUCUUCCACUGUAAAAAUUCUGAUUCUUGAGCUUGCAUUCAAAGAAAUGACUGGCUCUGUUAUUCAUUCAGAUAGUUUCGGGAUCACUGUACAAUCGCUGUGGGGGCUAGAGAUUGGGGCCCCCAGAAGAGAGAAUGGAAAAAGAUUUGAGGUUCAAGGUGAGCUCUGGUAACUGGGACUCCUGCUUCAGAACGAUUCACAUUUGGUUGUCAGGCUCCCUGCGGAAGGUCCUUAAUCCUUGAGGCUUUAGAAAAACUCUGAUGACCAGACCUCAGACCAGUGACUUCAGAAUUUCUGCAGGGGGGGGCCCUGGGAAUCAGUAUUUCAAAGUUCUCCUGGUGAUUGUGGUGUGUAGCCAGGAUGCAGAAUCACAGAACCUAGAUCUUAUGUAAAGCUGUGCUUCGGUGUUACCGCGUCUGUUCUGGGGGGAGGGGGAGUGAUCGUGGUUGCUUAAAAAAUAAACAAAAAGUGAAUGCACACAGCAGUGUUCUAGAUUCUCGAAGCAUGUUGGUUUGGCGAUCACAGCUGCCGCUACCCUGAGGUUUAGAGCUCCAGUUCUCUUGUAUCUCUGGGUCAGUGGUUUCUCAGCAUCUCUGCAGUAGUGGAACCAUCUGUAGUCGGUUAUUUCUGCUAAGGAAACUCCGAGUACUGAGUGGGGGGCGGAGCCAGGGCAGGGGUGGAGCCCAGAUGGAUUAAACAGGCCAUUACACACACCCACAUUUUUUUUUCCCCCCAAGAAACAAGGUCAGAAGCCUUGGCCAGUGUUGGCGUACCUUUGUGUCAGAUCCUUGGCAGUGCCCCGGUGGAUUCCAGGGGCUAUGGAAGCAUGUAGGCUGCUCUCUGUGCUCCGGUGACCGUGGUCCUGCCCUUGGUUGAGGGCCUCUGCCACUUCAGCUGUAACAUGUAAACUCCCGUCUGCGCCUGGUUGUUAGUGGUUCCCUGCAGGGCGUCCGUCCCUGCGGCCUAAGAAAUCUGAUGGGGCACAGCUGUCCGGGUUAAACAUUAAUGGAAAGGGCCCGGGUGGGAAAGGACAGCUAAGUGAAUCUCUUUCAGGUGGUGGUUCAGAAUGCAAAGGUGACUGCUUAAGUUGGUGUGAAAUGAGCCACAGGAGAAAGGAAAACUUGUCAGUUCUGAUCAACUCCAAAGAGUUUCACAAAGUGGGGGGAUGUUCCAGGAGGUUCUAAAAUGACAAAAUUUGAGAAGCAGCUGUAGACACAUGGGCCAGACGUAAGUUGCCGUUUUUGAGGUGAAUGAAGAGUGCAUCAGUCAAGUAUUUAUGAAGCUGAGAAAUGGGAAAUAUGGCCCCUGUCCCUAAAAAGCCUGCGGUCUCCCUGCGGGCUGGGUACCUAAGUUUGGGGUGUAGUCGAGAAGGCCUUCUCUGCUAUGGUCACAUGGUGAGUACUGGGGUGUUCAGAGGGAGGCGGGGAUGGGACAAAUGCAUCAAGGACUGUGGGUCUGAGCCAGUGAAAGGCCACCCCACUGUUGUGCAGAUCUCCCCACCCCACUUUCAACAUGAUGUCGAUGGUUUUGGGGGAGCAGCCCUGGAGGGCUCCCACUUGCUAGCAGGAAUGACUUUCUGUUCUUGCCCUCAUCAACAUUCUUUGCUUUCAAGAGUAAAUUUUCCUUUAGCAAAGGAAAUUUAGUGAAUUUCCUUUCAAAACUUUCUGCAAGGGAGGGGUGGUCUUUGCCAGGCCCCUGCUUUGAUGACUACCAUCUGCCCACCUUAAUUUUCUGCAUAGUUUCAGUUGGAAAGUCUUGCUUUGCUGGACUCAGAAACACCGUGUAAUAUGAUUGUUCUUGGUUCCGGUAUCCACCCGGCCCCCUCUCCACGCAGUGGAGGCUGCGUGUCAGGUAUGGAUGGGAAGCAUUAUCUGUGCAUCAGAAAACUCAAGUUUGUCCUGUGAGCAAGUUGUGUGACUGUCAGUAAAUGCUGGGACUGGCUUUGUUAGGCCCCGGCUGUGGCCAAGGCUGUUAUUUCUCUGUGGGUAAUUACUCCAGGCUUCACGGUCACGAGCUGAGUGUAAUCGGGGGCAGAUAAGAAAGUUAUAUAUAGAGCAAAGUACAUAUUUCUAAAGGUAGGUAGCAGAGGCAUUAUAUAUAUGUGUGUGUGUGUGUGUGUGUGUGUGUGUGUGUGUGUGUUUAAAAAAAGACCUAUAUUUUCUGGGCAGCAGAAUUUAAGUUUCCAGUAAACAUCUCCCUCCCUUGUUACUUCACCUUUUUAAUUUUGUGUUUAUGGUCUCUGUGCUUUGAAAUUGUUUGGCUGUGAGGCCAGCCCUGCCUGAAACGGGUGGAGCAGGCCAGGCCCUUUGGAAGCCAUGGUUUAGGUCAGAGUUCUUAGAGUUCCUCUGACCAGCUGACUGGCAGCUCAGAUGUGAUUACUCGAGCUCAUCUAGAAUAAAAAUAGAAACCUUGAGCCUGGGGGGGAGGGGGCGGGGAUAUGCAUUUAUUAGUUUAUUCCCCAUUACCACAUUGACUGCAGGAAGAAUCCUGUGUGUGUCGUUCCGGGCCGGGGUCGGCUUUUCUCUGUUCCCUGUUUGCCCAUGUGGAGGCCUCUGCUCUGGAAACCACAACCUCCCAGAGCCCCAAGCCUGGGACUAAUUUUUGGCGGGGCGCACGCUAGGUUUAGCUGUUGCUGGGCAGAAGUGGCCUCUCCCGGUGGAUUUUCGGGGGGUGGGGUGGGGGGGUCACGUUGUUCUUUCUUAGCUGUGGUUGUCAGCUGGGGAGACAGGGAAGGCUGGAAGGUGAUCGGGAGAAGCCGGGGAGAAAACCCACAAAAGCAGCAGAGCCGGCCACGGCUGUGUGGUGGGGGUGGCAGCGGAGGAAACACAGUGGUGUUUUGCUGCUUUUCCACACCACUUCCAGUUCAGGGCUGCUGGGAAGACCAUUUCAGAAGUGCCCCCCACCCCCAACAAUAGAGGGAGCAGCCGCUCUGGGGUGAGGAAGGAAGCUGCUUGUGCGAGCAGUCUGCACCUGGGAGCAUGUGGCGUGGCCGGGCCUGACCUCAUCCCUCUGUCAGGGUCCCCUUGCUCUGGACAGAGAGGGCCCAGGGAAACGAGAAAGGGGCGGUCUUCCCCUAGAGACCCUCAGCCCCUGACCCGUGCAGUUCCCAGGAGACGCCCCCAUGAAGCAUGACCUAAAGCGAGCGGUCCUGAGUGUGAGCUCGCCCAACAGUUUUCUUUUGCAAAGUGGGUUUGGUUUUUUGUUUGUUGGGGUGUGUAUGGGAGAAUGGCUGCUUUGGGCCCUUGGUUCUGAAGAAGCCAGGCUACGAUCAUGGCUGCUUUUUUCAACAAAAUCUCCUUUUCCCUCGAAGCCUCUUGGGGAUUGUGACUAGCAGGAAAACGAGCCACAUUUUCUUCUGUGACCUUCUUCAUGUUCAACGUCAUGGUGGGAUGAUGGCCAGUGUCCUUGUAGAGCUGGCCGAGCCAUUUCCCACUGUCCUGUCUUGAGACAGCGUUGGGUGGAGACAGGGCAGAGGGGCUUGCCCCUAUUUUGUGGGUGACCAGGGACCAUUUACAUGUGAGUGGAGGAGCAGGGACUGAGGCUCUUCCCCUAGUCCUUUGUCAGAGCGGUUCUUGGACUAUGCUGUGUGGCCUCAAAUAAAUGUACAUGCCUGUGUUCUCAACAUAGCCCUCAGAGGAUCAUGGAUUCUUGCCCAGCGGCUGUCACAGGGAAGGGGGCACGGCCACCAUGAUCUAUGCAGUAUUUUGCAGUGUACAGAGCAGUUCACAGACAUCUCAGUUCACCUCCGUGACAGUCCCUGGAAAUAGAUGUGAGUCUAGGUGAGCAAAUGGACAGCCGGAGGCCCUGAAUGACUUGGCCCAGUGGUGAGUGGGUGGCAUUGGCUGAAUGCCCUGAAGGGGGAAGCGAGAGUCCAGUGGAGCUGUGGGUGGUGCAACUAGUGAUUGGAGGCGGUAGGCUUGGCUCUUCUUGUCACAGAAGCCAUGCAGGGUCCUGGUUCCUGAGCGGGAGCCUCUCAGAGGGCCUGCUUGUGCUCACCCUGUGCCGCAUGGAAGCCUGGACCAGCGUGUGAGGAAGAGGCACACCCAGGUCAAGUGAAGGGCCCCCUGAGGGAGUGGUGACAGGCUGCAUGGGAGUGGCUGAAAUUGGGGUUCACCCUACUCAGGGUGGGGCAUUCCUGUUCAAGAGGUGAACUUCAAAGGGCGUGUCCGGGAAUAUGGCGGUUUGGAUCAUGGCGCCCUUCCUGGUGUGGGAGGAAGAUCGAGGAGUCUGGACUCUGACAGAUUUGUUGAAAACCCCAGCUCUGCUAUCUAGUGGCUGUGGGCUCCUGGGACAGUCACUUCAACACUGCGAACCUCAACUUGGGGAUCCUCAGUAUGUCCUUCAGAAGCUUGAGUCCCUGCUACAGUAUGGGGCAUAUAACAGUUACUCUUCUGGUCAGAAGCAACUUGACAGGUCCUUUAGUCCAGCCCCUUCAUUGACAGAUGGGGAAACUAAGGCCCUGAAUGGUGUGAUGAGUAGCCCAAGAUUGUAGUGAAUUAGUGGCAAAGCCAGAGUUAGGACCAGGUUUCUUGAUCCCAGGCCUGGGUGUUUUGUUCAUUUGCUUGUGCUUUGCAUGAACCUGGGGUGGUUUUUCUUGCUCGUUCACACCCUCACGAAUUUCCCUGAGUAGUUAGUUGUCUUAUGAGGUAAAAAGUCCAUUAACACGCAUAAAAGAACACGCAAGGCCUCUGAUGUCAGCUUUUUGGGGCGAGGAGCCGGGGUGGGAGACCAGGGUAGGGAGCUAACACUUUCAUAUGCUUGUCUGUUGUGAACCAUCAGCUGAAUCCUUGUUUUCUAAGUGUGUUUGAUGGUAAGCAGGGUUCAGCUGCUGAGACCGUCCACUCAGGGUCUUGGAAAGUACACUUAGGUUUCUCUUAAAUAGCCUCCAUGUUUCUCUCCACUGCAUUCCCACCCCCAUUCCUCCAGCACUUUCGAUCCUCUUUGACUUGGGGUUGGAAGUAGCCCAUCAUAGGGGUAAGCCUCCAGUCCAUUUUGUGUGGUGCUGCUGGGCUAAAAUAUUAUCAACACACCACCAAGCUGUGCUUCGUCCAAGGUUAAGACCCUCCUUCCCCACUUGAGUUUUGGAUUAUCUGCCGUGGGGUUCGGUCUUGAGCUCAGUGAGGGAGGCUAAUGGUUCCAGUGCAGGAACCCAGGAUUUCUUAUUUCGUUACCAUCUGGUUUCACGGAGUCUGUUUCUUUUGAUUUUCCUCUCCCUCUUGGGAGAGGCAAAUCCCAGAAUGGUGUAAAAAUAAGAUACCCCCUCACCCCCACCUCCAGCACUGCAGGUGCACACACAUGGCCGCCAUGUUGCUUGUUGGACAGGGCUGAGCAGAGUCCUCCCGGUUUUUGAACAUCCUCGUGUAUGAUUCCUGUCUCCCGGCCUCCGGGCCCUGUCCCCUCUGAAGGGAUUUCCCAGGAGGUUCCAGGCCAGAGCCUGACCUGGGAUGGGAGCUGCGUCCAGAGUAACAAGGUCUGAAGGGGGCUUGGGGUGUUGCCCACUGACCUACCCUGCCAUGGAGGCUGGUGAUCCAGUGCUGUGAUGCUACGAUGUGACCUCUUCAACCAGUGAGUCACCACCUCCAGAUAACCACCGGUACUUUCAGGGGGAACUGCUGGUAUCAUUGUGGCUGUGGCCAUGGUUUCUCCAAAUUAAGGUGUGCUUAGAAAUGAAAGUCCAGGGACUGGUUUCCUUAGAUUUCUUGUCAUGGAUGCAUGGCUCCCCUACCUUUUUCUCAUAAAGACUCACCUGGUUUUCUCUUAAGUCAUAUGCUUUGGUACCAGCUUUAUAUAUUAAUAAUAAAUAGCCAACACUCUUCUAACAUGUUGGGGGGAAAACUGCCUAUUUUUACGUUUUAAUUUUUCCAUAUUUUCUAGAAUUGUCCAUCUGUAUACGUGUUUUUAUGUAGCUGUCAUCAGAGUGUGUCAGUCCGUCAAACCAGGAAAGCAAGAAUUCCAUCCAGUAUUUACCACAGAGGGAAUUUAAUACGGGGCCUUGGUUACACGGGCGAUAAAGAAGCUGAGAAACCAAACAUGGGAAGGCGAGGUGACCCAGAGCUUUGUGGCAGGAAGCCACUGCCACCUUUAGGCAGGAGGGACCAAGGGAGAAGGUAGCAUUUCCGAAGCCCAGGGUUGGGGUCCCUGGUGGCUGACCUAGAGCAGGCAUGGCUGCCUCUCAAAGUGCCCCCCCCCGAGAUAGGGGAAGAGGGGAGAAAUGCCCUGGCCUCUCCCCUCCUCCCACCCUCCGGUCUCCUGAGUUCCUGCUGCUGUCCACACCCCACCAGAUGCCCCUGAUGUAGGGCCUGGAGAGUCAGGGGUCAGCCCUGGGGGAUACAGAGCAGAACACGAGAGGAUGAGAAAUGGAUCCGAGGGCGGACGGGACCCAGAGCAGCCCAGGGUGCAGGGCUCCUCUUCUAAAUUAAUACCGUCAGAAGCAUUUCCUGAUGUUUUCCCGUGGUCUUCGUAAUUAUGCAUGUUAACUCAAGUGGACGGUUAGCCUGCCCAUUCCCCCAGCUGUAGGGUGAGUGCUUAGAAUAAUGAUAAAUCAGCGGUUCUUGAAGUGUGGGUCCCCACCGAGAGUGUCAGCGUCACCAGGGAACUUGCUAGAAAGGCAGAGUCUCAGGCCCCACCCUGGACCUCCUGAAUCAGAAAAAUCUGUGGGUGGGCCCUGCAAUCUGUGCUUUAAAAGCCCUCUGGGUGGGGGAGGGGGGAUGCCUACGCUCGUGUAGUUGGAAAAGCACAGUUACAGGCGAUGCCACACCGCGUCGAGGGGGGCGGGGCACGGGCGCUGAGGGUGCUGGUGCUUGGGCUUCUUUAUCCAGAGCGGCGUGGCGUAGCAGCAAAGGUGCAAGACUCCAGCGCAGUACGCUUCUGGGGUCACGCCUCACCCUUAACCUCCUUGUGGUGCCUCUUUCCUCUUUUGUUCAACGGCUAAAAAUAUCGAACCGUGGCGGCCGUAUCUGAGGAUUGAACGAAGUAAUGGCAUGAUGUUCCCUGUGUGGGUCUUCCGGAGCUGUGCAGAGGAAGUGUGGCAAGAGCAGCCGGCUUCUGCAGCAUAGAAAGUUGGCCUUGGAACCAGCGCUGGAGGUGUGUGGUCUGGAAGUCCAGGAUGAGCCCGCAGGAAGCUGACGAGCGAGCUUCAAGUCUGUAGGAAUCUUGGACUGAGGCUUGCGUGUUUGGAGUCAAGCGUCCCUGCCCCAUCCCGCUUUUAUUAGUGUUCUAACCUGACCCCGUGCUUACCCCUUCUUGUCCCUCUUGUCUAGCCACUUGGUGGAGUGGAAAGAAUCCUGGUCUCCCCCUGGCUUCCCGUGUUUGCAGCCCACUAAACCCUCUGCUUUGUCUCCCUGGAUAACCCUGGUGUGGAUCAGGUGGGCCGAUGGACAGGACACCUGCCUCGAACCUUAGUGGGCCCCAUGAGCAGAAAGCCUUGAGGGUCCACAUCUCUGCCAGGGCCGGCCUUGCCAUCCCCGUAGGCCUCCCCUUCUCACUCUGUUGUGGGAAGUGCUAAGUCGGAGUUUGUCGGCGAAGGCAGGCAGCUGGGUGCCCCAUCGUCCUGUAGGCCGGGGUCUUCCACUUGUCUUGCUCUUGAACUCCUCCCACAGCCCUAGCAAGUAGGGAGUCUUAUGAGAAGUAACCAAGCUCAGCUGCCCGAAGAGGAAGGGCAUGAGCGAACCCCUGGGGGGACAGACAGAGGCCCGCUCUGCCCCAGAGCCAUCCACGGAGUCACUACUGCUAAGAAGGGAAAGAGGAACAGGGUAAAAGCUCUUGCUGAUGUGUGACCAUCCACUGGGCCCCCAAGUCCUGCCUGUGUGUGGGUGGGAUAGAGCAGCCAAUGGGAGCCGGUUGGGAGGCUGGUUACCUGGAAGAAGCAAAGUCCUUCCCAUCGUCCUCCCUCUGGCAGCACCCAAGAGAAACUGUUUGGGCCAACAGGAGGCGGACCAGCCACCAUCCCACCCCAGGCUUUGGUGCCAUCCUCACUUAAUGGCUGAGGGACUGAGGCUCAGAGACGUCAAGUGGCUUACCUAAGGUUAAACAGUCAAGGAAUCUGAGCCCAGAUCGUGUGGUUUCUGGUCUGUUCUUUGCAGGACACCUGUGUGCCUUGUUGAGCCGGGCAUAGCUGGCACUUUUCCAGACGGUUUCCCACCCAUUCUGUGGGAGGCCCUCUGGGUGGGCAGAGGACAGUGAGCAGCCAGCAUGGGGCAGUCCUCGGUGUGAAGGAGCCAGCGAGUCAGCCUGAGCCCUGGGCGGGGCAGAAGCUGUGCCAUCCUCCAGCCAACAACUGUGAUCUGACUGUGUGGGUUGCCACUAGAGGUGACCUCAAAAUGAGGACUGAAGCCCCUGGGAGGAGAGUGCCAGUCGCUCCCACUUGGCCUGCACCUGGGGGCGAGCAGGUGCCAUCAUCCCACCCGGGCAGGGUGGAGGGUGCUUACCCGGCUACCUUCUCUAAGGUCGACUCAGCACAAAACAAUCUUAUCGUUCAAGGUCUGCUCAGAAUUGCUACCCUGAGGAGAAGGCUGUGGCAGAGCAGGGUGGGGCGUGAUAGCAAGGAACUCCCGGCCUGCUGGGGCAGGUCUUAAUGACUAAGUAACUGGUGGAGGCAGGACCUGAGCUUUUAACUCAGUAAGUAUAUGUUAUUGCUAAUGCAGCCAGGGACCAGCCGGGGAGCAUAAUUACCCGAGAUCUGCUUUACGGGCACUUAGGGAAGCACACUGGGCUGCACUAACCUAGGUAAGGAUGUGGCCACAUACACUUAAUAGGUGUCUCAAAGAAGCCUUUGCAGUAAUUAUUUAAACACUGGCAGGUGGCCACUGACUUGAUGUACCAGAACUUUUGGAGUCAGAAUUUUUUUUUUUCUUUCCUCCACUGGAUUUAAAUGUACUUGAGUUCUAAGCCAGCUCCCCCAGCCUCUGGGAAGCUGGCAGCUGCAUGGGGGGGGGAGGGGGUUUUUAGAAAACUCUGCUGUGUGUCUCCUCUAGUCUCAUUCAGCGUAUUUCACUUGUGACGCUUCUGGUGGCUGUGUGUGUAUCACGCACGUGUGUGCGUGGACGCACAAUUUCUCCCACACUGAGCAAUUCUCAGAUUCUUUGGACACUAGCUGAAUGUCCUACCUUCUUGAUCUGGACACUGUCUACCUGGGGAGAGCAUCAGCUGCCACGGGGAGAGGGCUCAGUCCCACGAGACCCGCCAACCCCCUCCCCACUGCAGAUGCCCAUCUCCAGGCCAGGUUGACACCUGCUCUGACCCCUGGGUUCUUGAUCAGGGGUUCCCACCAUCCCCUCUGAGGGCUCAGUGAAUUUGCUAGAGUGGCUUACAGAACUCAGGAACACAUUUUAUAGGUUUAUAGAAGGACACAAGUAAGGAACAGCCAGAUAGAAGAGACACAUGGGGCAAGAUAGGUAGGAAGGGCUCUGAGCCUCCAUGUUCUCUGGAGCAUGGCAUCUUCCCCAGGCUCCCCAACCCGGAAGUUCUCUGAACCCCAUCCUUUGGGGGUUUCAUGUGACUUUAUUGCGUAGGCAUGAUCGAUUAAGUCAUUGGCUAUCAGUGAUUGAGCUCAAUUUUUGGCCCCUCUCCUAUUCUCGGAGUGGGGAGCUGUGACUGAAAGUUCCAACCUUCUAAUCACACGGUUGGCUUCCCUGGUACCCAGCUGUCCAUCCUUAGGGACUUUCCAGAAGUCCCCUCAUUUACAGAAAUCCAGCUGUGGUUGAAAAGGGCUUGUUAUGAAUAACAAAAGAUACUCAUUUCACCUUCAUUGCUCUGGAGCUAUUUCAGGAAUUAUAACAAAAUAUGACAAAAGAUGCCCUUAAGGCUCUCAUCUGGGAAAUUGCAAGGAUUUUAGGAGCUCUGUGCCAGGAAUGGUGGACAAAGACCAAAUGUAGAUUUCUUAUUAUAAAUCACGGCAUCACAAGGAACCUCAGCAGAGUGGGGAUAAGUCCAGAAAAGUCAGCCUGAGCUGACUAGAUGGGCAGGUCUUGGGCAAGUCACGUCAGUUCUUUGAGCCUCAGUUUUUCCAGCAAUAAAUUGGGGAUAAUGAUGCCUGUCUCUUAGGGUUGUUAUAAGAUUGACUUAAUGCAUGUACAAAGCUUAGCUCGGCAUUUGUCACCUUGCUAAGAGCUGGUAAAUAGUCCCUUCUUCCCUUUCCUUGGUGUUGACCAAAUAAAAAGAUGGCGGAUUGCUCACCUAACCUAUAUACUGUGUUGACAAAGGAACUAUCACAUAGUAUGGCAGCCCCAGAAAGUUGGAAAAAUGCCUGUGAAGUCUCCCAGCCCGUCAGAUGCUGAAGUAGGUAAGCAUUUUAAUCCAAACCACUUUUAUGUUUCGCCCUGAACCGACAUUUCUGGGACGCAGGGCCUCUGGGUAUGGGGACUUGAGCUAAUUUGGCUUUAGACUAACUGGCCAGCAAAGCAAAGGACAGCCGUGGGAACGUGUCUUGAGCCUGUCCUUGACAUGGGCAUGGCUGGCAUCAAGGCCAGCCUUGUGGGCACGCUCAGGAGGGCCCUGUGCUUGGGCCAGUGUCUGUCGUCAGCAUCUUGAAAUUCUUGAUUUUCUUUGAGCUAGGCUUUUGUAAGCGACGUCCGAUGAGACAGUGGAGCGCGGGCUUGAGUGGAAGAGAUACGCAUGCACAAUGUUCCUUUCUGCCCUCACAGGACAGAAAGUCCUGACACUUUCCAUUUGAACCAGAACUUAAGAAAGACCAUGUCAUUCUAAGAAACUUUAAUGACCAAGAAAUCCUCUCCUACGCCUUCUUACUUGUGUGCUUUCCCCCUCUUAGCCAACCGCUCACACCGGAAAUGAUGACGUAGGAGAAGGAAAGCUAAGGCAGGCCAUAGCGCCUUUUCCUCUCAGCCCUUCCUCACGCCUCAGUAAGCAGAGGGUAGAGUGUUGGUAGGAUGUGCACGUACCAAAAAGUGAAGUAAGAGCAGGUGAGUGAGUUUUCGGCAGUAUUGCUGCUCUUCUGGUUAAGUCACGGUGUGUGUGUGUGUGUGUGUGUGUGUGUGUGUGUGUGUGUGUGUCUCUCCAAGCCACAGAAUGCAAAUUGUGUCAUUUCAGUGAUUUCACCUACUAGUGAAAUGCUCUUAGGUUUGGAUUUAAAACUGCAUUGCGUCACCUAAACAGCAGUGAUAAAAUACAUGCUACUAACUUAAAACUUUCACUUUUCUUAGAACGAUAUUAAAUAGCAAAUAAAAAAAACCACCAUAACAAGUCAGGACAGAGACUGUGGAAGGAAAGAGCUUUCUGUUUUCAUACCAUUAAUGUUAGUUUUUUCCUACUUUUUUGCUCAAAGGGCUCCACAUUUUCAUUUUGCCCUGGGGCCCACAAAUUACGUAGCCCGUGCUGGCUGGCAUCCCAGGGCUGGAGGUCUCAAGCUGGUCUUGCACCCACAGGCCCUUUGCUAGAUGCCUGGCCUCCUCAUACUAUCUUUUGGGUCUUAGGGCCAAGAAACCACAUAUAGACAAGUGAGCAUUGACAGUUGCUCUGAAGAUUCGAGGCUGUUCCAGGUGGUGGUUGGUCUGUUGAUAGAGAUCACAGCUGGGGAAUGCCAGAGGCUCCACACGGAAUCUUGUUGGAGGUGUUUGGGGCCUACUGUGCAUUCACUCUUGUGAAUUUUUGAGCUGCUUAGUGUAGAGGCAUGAGCCAGCAAUGGGCUGAGAGAGGCCCCCAGUUGAAUCCAGCUCUGGGUUGGUCUCCUUGGGCAAGUCAUUUCUUUCUGAAUCUGUGUCCUCAUCAAGAGAUCCUUGGUCUCUCCAUUGUAAUGUAGCUGUUAAGAGUGUGAGCCUCUUGGAGGCCAGUUCUUGGGUCAACUCUUGUUUUCACUUCUUCUGUAGUUCCUGCAUCUUGGGCAGGUUGUUGGAGCCUUGGUUUCCCCAUCUGUGAAAUGGGGAUAAUGGUAACUACUUUGUAGGGUAUUAAAUGAAUGCGGGGAAGGAAGUUAAUGUUGUGUCUGGUACAUAAUGUUGAAUAAAUGGCUGCAAUGGUCAGGAUGGUGAAGGAGGAAGGAACAAUGCCUAGAGGUGCUAGGACCAAAGUGGUAGCAUGUGGGGACCCCAGCAUUCAGGGUGUAACCUCAGAGAUUCUAUGAGUACAAAUACCUAUGGAACCUUUGCCUCAGCCUUCUAAGCAGCUCUUCGGACCAUGUGUUCCCGAAGUUACUGGAAUGAGGGGAAAAUCAGUGUUUGCAGUUUGAAGGUCUGAGUCCUUGUCCUCUCACUCUUCAUCACGUGACCCGUGACAGUCCCUUGCCCACCAAGCCUCACUUGCUUCAUCUGUAAAACGGAGCGGUGACAGGUGUGCCUGCCCUACAGCACGAGGCCCAGUAGAGAGGACACGUGAAGGAGUCUUUCAUAAGCUUAAAUUCAAGGUGCUGUGUUAGGAAGAGUCUAUGGUGAAUCUUCUGUGUUUAUUGAAAUCUUGCUCCCUAGUGUCAUGAGAGACAAGCAGUUGCUUUGCCUGGGCCUCGGUUCUUGCUCUGUGAGAUGAGAGGAACAGACGUGGGUGAAGCAUGAACCGCUCCAGGAGCAGGUUAUAAAAGAAGGAAGAAGGGACGGGGAGGGAGAGAGAGCAAGAAAACCCGCAGAAUUUGGAAUUGUCUCCUCACUGGAACCGCAAUGGCAGGUCUCAGGGACUCAGGAAGGGGUGCAACCCAGCCUUGCGGUUGACAAAUGUCAGAUGUUAGGAAGAGAAAGGCCCAUCUUACUGUAGCAGGGGUUUCUCUCCACCCCCUGCCUCCUGAGCCCCGGUAGCUUGUUACUCCCUGGCUAACAGCUUGGCUGCACAGAGGCAAACCACAGAGUACAUUUGAGGCCCAGAUCUGCUCAUUUCGAGGGUGGGGCCGCGUUUUUCUCCUGCCACAGCGAGCUAAUUAAAGAAAACAAGCUUUGGGAGUUGGGAGAAAACUGGCCACAGAGCACUCGGGGAGGGUCGCUUUGGUUGUGGAGGCCUCCGCAGUCCCCGGAAGGCAGGUGGAAGUGGGCAUCCAGGUCCCACACGUCCCGGUGGUGCCCUGAGGGCCCAGGCUGCUGAGCUGGGAGACCCGGAUGGAGAUGGCAGGAGGGCUUCCCUGGGAGGGGAGAUCAUCUCGGUUUGUGAGGGGACCUGUGUCGGUGUUUUGACGUGCUUCACAAAUAGAGUCCUGGGAGAGAGUUCCGGGGCACUUUGGGUUCUCCCGCCGGCCUCAGGGAAAGUGGGUGCCCUCUGUGUUCCCUAAGAGCAGCGACGCUCCGAGCUGGCUGUUCUUGUUCCAAGUCUCGGGGCUAGAAAGUGCACUGAGGACUCAGGACGUCUGUCUCCAGAAGGAACAUGCUCGUUACAUGGAGGGGGAGGCCAACAUCCAUUCCUGCUGUCUGACGACCACCCCUGCCCUCCAGGAUGGGAACCCAGACCCCUCCCGGCCACGUACUGUUUUAUGGAGAAGGUUCCACCUUCGCGAGGAAGCAGAGACCCAGAAAGGAUGCGACCUUUGUCCAGAGGCCCAGAGCAAGGAUCUGGGGACAAGACCAGUGUGUCAGUGUUAGCGACGUGACCUUCACAAAGUCGCCUGAAGACUACCCCGAUCCCUCCCACAUCACGGAGUCAGGGGGAGCGCCCGAGCGAGGGGAUGGUCGUUCGAGUGCUUCUGUUAGCUGUCUACGCUCUUCCUGAGGUGACCGAAGGGACCGACGGAUGGAAGGGGCUGAGAGAAAUCCCUGAACGGAGGCACACACUGGUCCACAUCUGCGGUUGGGGGGUGGCAUUUGCGGUCCUCUUCAGGGGAGCGUCCGUCGUGGGCCGCAGGCCUGGGAGCGCAUGGGCAUUUAUUUCUGCCUUCGGAUGGGCAGGGUUGGGGGGCGCCCGCUGUAAGGCAGUGUGGGGAAAACCCAGUCCCUGCCGUCCAGAGGUUCACAGUGUAAUUGUGCUUUUCACGGGUCACCUGGAAGGCCACCUGCUGAGAGGGAACACAAUUGACCCGAUGAAUCCUGCGGGCCCCCAGGCCCACUGUGCUGUUCACAUGGGAGUCUGGGGAAGUGCUGUGUGUGUGUGUGUUCAGAGAGAAAGGGGAGUAGGAUGAGUCAGAUUUACCCACUGUUUUUUCCCUUUUGAAAUGUGUUAUGCUCACACACACAGCAGUCAUGCGCUUGCACAGAAAUGUGUGAAAACCACUUAAAAUGUGUGAAAUGUGGCCCUUUUGAAAGUAUGCCUUACACCCACAUUGUCUUGAGCACCAGUGGAUUUGUGAAUGUUCAGUUCUUUCCUAAUCUACAGGAAUUUUGUGUUUGCCCGAGGUGCUCAUUCAGGGCCAGCCCCAACUGGCUCGUGUGUGUGGUACACAGGCGUGGCCUAUGUGUGAUAGAACCAAGGUUCUAGGGGUUCUGUUCUGUGAAGCAGGUGGACUUCUGGACUCAGUGGUCCUGGUGGGUCUGUAGCAGGCCGUAGUCUUGGAUGCGCUGGAAAGAACCCGCCACCACCACCUGUAGGCAGGUUAUGCGGCCCCCUAGCCCUGGUACUUCAAGUCCUCCAGAGCCAACCACUCUGUGGAUUUGCCUUCUCUGGGGGCCUCGGUUCCUUCCAGAUGAGGCCCAUCACAGCUCCUCCCCAGCCUGCUGAAUCCACACCCAUUGCCUUGCUUUGGCUCGCCCGUAUGUUUCCUAGGAUGCAUUCCCAGACUUCUCUGUACCUUUCUGUCUUUAAAACCCGGAGUGAGCCCCACCUCCUCUGUUGCAUCUUCCUUGACUAUCUAUCCCAGCUCACUGUAACCACCUCCCCUUUCUCUAAAUGGUCUCCUGAAUCACUUCCUGGGUCUGGCGCAUAGUACAGGCUCUGUAAAUAUUUCUGAAUGUGGCCGCGUCCGUGAUAGGUAACUUGCGUCUGUGUCAUUCAUCUACCCAGAUGGGAGGGCCAACUUCCCUGUACAGGAGUUGUAUCUUAGUCUCGUUUUUUAUUACCCCACCCUGCCAGCUUAUAAAAGCGUAGUAGAUAAGAUCCUGCAAGGCCUAGACAUUUCUCUCCCUGUUCUGUGUGGCGUCAGGCAUGGCUCACAGCCUCCUUGUCACUUACUUUCUAUCCUGCAAAGUGAGGAUAGUAAGAUGUACCCAGCCUGUAUCAAAGGAUACCGCGAUGAUCAGAAGAGAGUUUUUGGAAAACUACAAAGUGCUAUGCAGACAUGAGUUAUUAAUGGUCUUGUAGGUUAUCAGUAACAUGUGGCCUUGACAUUAAUGCUGGGUCCAGCGUGGAGCCUGAAGGGUAGGAGGAGAGCCAGUGUAUGCCGUGGACCCGGAGUCCAGGACCCCUGAGAUCCACUCACCAUCUUUGAGCCUCAGUUUCCUUGGCUUGACUACCCUUUCCAGCUCUGACACUGGUGGUCAUGGAGCUGUGUGGCAGGGGGAUGGGGAGGGGCGGGGGGGCUCCCCGCUCCCGUGUGGCUGGAACUCAGCCAAAACAAUCAGGAGGUUUUCCCUCCAACCUUAGUGUUUCUGGGUUGGCUCCUGCAGCUUUGAUGUCCCUUCGAGUGAUCAAGCUGGACCUCUUUUUUUUUUUUUUCCCCCCCCGUGCCUUACUUAUUGCUAGAUCUCCAUAAACACUCGCUUGGACUAAUGGGAGAGGCUGUUUGCACCAUGUAAGGUGGCAGAAUUUUUGUCACCCCUUUGCAGAGGUGUUGACAUUUAAGGGUGGUUGGGGUGAUGGCGCAGAGGGGACGCAGGAAAUCUGGAAGAAGGGAAGGGGGCCAGGAGCUGAGCAAUGUGUAUAACAGGCUCAGACUCUCAGAAGUGCCUGCCUCUGCUGUUUUGGUGGUGGGUGUUCAAAGGCAGGAAAAUAGAUAAGAUCAGAUUUCAGGAUUUUCACCCCCCCCUCCCCAGUUUGGACAGCUCGCAGCUUUUGCAGGGCAGGCAGGGCAGGGCCUGGGUAUUCUUCAACUUUUGUAACCCCCGUGCAGCGCGGCACUUGGGUAUGCAGCACACUCAGUGAACACGUGGCUGCCAGUUCUCAGGAGGUGGUCUGUGUAUACGUGAAGUCUUGGGUUAAAUACCAACCACGUGUCUGAUUCCAGAAGAUGGAGCUGCUGGGAAGAAAGGACUGCCCUUUGGAAGCUGUCUUCUCCGUCCUGUCCUUCUGCGUUUUGCGGUCACCCUUCCGGAUUCCUGAAUUCAGGGGUAUCUGGGCCUGGAAAGGAGUGAAGGCCCUCUUCGUGGGGUGGGAUGGUGUUCUACACACACUAAGGGAUACAAAUUCACACUGGCCGUGGGCAGUGCCCUUUCCCCAGUGGAUUUCCCAUUAGCCCCCUCUGUGCUGGCAGGUGCCGUGGGUAGAUGACCUUGGCGGGAAGCUUGGCACAAAUGGCCAAGUUGACACGGGAUCGCCGUAUUCCAUGCUAUCUUGUUAUCUUGUUUCCUCGAUGCUCAUUGUCACAUGAGAAAGGACUUCCUUUGUGGGCCUCCCUUCACAGAGCCCUUAAGUUCAUCAACUGCGUUGUCUGAAUGAAACCGUUUCUGUUCAGAGCUGGGAUCUUGUGGAACGCCUCCUCUGAGGAGCUCCCCCCCAAACCCCCAGCCCGUCUCCAUGUUCCCAGGAGACUCUUCUCGGUCUCCUGAGGCCUGAUUCUUCCUCCCCUUUUAGCACUGCUGUCUGCUUCUCCUUUGAGAGCUGCUGGGGGAGGACAGAUGGUGUGGCAUCCCACGAGCGAUCUUCUUCGAGAGUUUCAUCUCGUGGGAUGUCCCAGUGGCCGUUUAUCCCGAUCCGCUUGCUGUUCUCCCCCUGGGGCCUUGCUGACAAACUGCCCAUGUGCCAUCUCAGCUGCUCCAGCCCUGCUGCCUUUGCUCCUACAGCUCAGGACCCCAGAGAAAGAGAGCCUUGGUCUGGAGUUUCUGUCUCGGCCCUGCUGCUUGACUUUGGCCAAAUCGACUUGAUUUCUUUGCUCCUCCAUUUGCUCCUCUGAAAACAAAGGGGUUGGCCGAGGUGCUUUGGAAGUUCCUGUCCUCCCUGUCCUUCCCCUGCUGUCUCCAUGGAGGGCAGCACCACCUGUGAUCUGCAGUGGGAACUCGGGCUGGAGGGGCAGGCUGGGUGAGGGCACGGCACACCUCCACACCCUCAUGGAGACCCUGGACCCUGACCUGGGGGCAGCGAGUCCAGGAUGCCAGGAAGCCUCGGGGGUGUAAGGUAAGCAGGGCCCUUUGGGAAGUGAGGGGUGUUAUUCAGCCUUAUGGAAUGCCGAGGCCUGGCUGAGCCUGGGCAGGGCCCUGGAGAGGCUUGUGGCUGAAUUUCACGGCCUUGAAGAAUGGCUACUGUAUAUACCAGUGAUAAAUAUUAGUCACCCUGGCAGCUGAAGGAGGUUCCUGGGCUGCAUUUUUGACACUUCCAGAAAAGGGAAAGCCUUUCUCUCUGACAGCACACAGGAGGGAAAAACAAGACUGUCUCUCUCUGGGCUCAGGUGCCAAGAAAUUCUCUUACUGGGAUGGCCUGGCUGGAGCUCCCACGGGAUUUUCAGCCACCAGGGACCCAUCCCUGCCUGAGGCUUCGAUAUAGGGCCCGUGAAUGUCCCAGUGGCCAAGUCUGCUGGGCCACCUUUCUAGGCCUUGCUCGAGCACGUCCGCGAUCUAGUGUUGAUCUGCCUUCCUCCUCCCUGCCAUCUGCCUAGCCUCCUCCAGUUUCCCUUUUCUCAGGGAGAGGACCACCAUCCACCGAGUUGCCUGAGCCACACCUGGGGAAGUCAUCCCUGUCACCAUCUUUCUCUUCUUGCUCAUUCUCCCGCCCAUCGCCGAGCCCUGUCGGUUCUGCCUCCAGAGUAUCGACAACCAUCUGCUCCGUCGUCCUCAUCCAAAUCAGGGUAUCCCUGGCCUAGCUGUCCUCCUAACUGGUCUCUUGGCCUGCAUCCUUCCCUCUGCUGGCAGCCAGAGAGAUCUCUGUAAAAUGCACAUCCUACCGUCUGGCUCAUUUGCUAAAAUCAUUCAGGGGGUUUCUCUUGUCUUGCGGGCAAGGGUCUGAAUCCUCAGUGAGGCCAUGCAUCUGGCUUCACCUGCCUGGCAGGCCUCCACUCCCAGCUGGGCUCUCCUCCCCACUCUGGCCUUCAUUUACAUCUCCUUCCUCAGGGCCUUGGCAUGUGCUGUUCCUUCUGCCUGAAAUGCUCUUCCCCACAGUUUUCAGCCAAUGUGAGUCAGGUCUUAGCUUAACUACCCUCUCCUAAGAGAGCCCUCGCCGUUUCCCCCUGUUUAAAUUCUAUCCCCUGAUACGCUCUGCUCUCGUAUAGCUCCCUGUUCUUUUCCUUCAUAGCCCUCACCCCUGCUUGUAGUUCUAAGUCUGUGUGGUUAUUUGUUUACUGUCUGUCUGCCCCUCAAGGGCAGGGACCAUCUCUUUUGUUCUCUACCGUGUCCCAGGGCACAGGACUGAGGAGCUGGGUAAAUAUUUGAGGGCAUGAAUUGUAUGCGGAGGACGUGUCUGCUUAUGCUGCUCUGGUCCCGGCACCUUGGUUCCCUUGGGGCCUGUCCCCUACUCUCCAGGCCCCACUGAGUGCCCGAGCUUCCUGGCAUCACUCCUCUGGCAUCAAAACCUAUCCGUCCCACAUCUCUGUCUUUUGCAAGGUGACACUUUGUCUGAUUACCUAAUUCACACUAAGGUGUUCAAGGUGCUAAUGACAUAGUGUUUGUAACCCCAGGGGAUGCAAAAUGAUGGCAUCAAAACAUAUUCCUGCCUGGUGGUUUAAGACUCUUCAAGAACGGCCCAGAGAGCCCAAGUAGAGGCUGGUCUCCUUAGCCAGGUUCAUAAGGCCCCCGUCUGCACAAUUUGGCGUCCGUGUCUAAUCCUCCAGCCUUAGGUCCCCAGGCCUUAGUCAUCCUCCUCCCCUACCCGAGGCCCCCAGCACAGCACCUGGCAUGGGCAGGCCCUCAGUUAAUGUUUACUACGUGGAUUUAAAAGAAAUAGGGUUUAAUGACUCAUGCGUGAACGAAGUGUUUGGUGUAGCCAGUCUUUUGGGCUUUGGAUGCCAGGGGAAAGGCACAUGGUGGGAACUUCAGGCCUCGUGGCUGUGAUCGUGCCAGGAGACCAGGGGAGAGGGAGCUUUACGUGGGUAGAGGGACAUGGCUCUUCCGGGCCCCCGAAUCCAGAUCUCUCCCCAGCUACCAUGCCGAACACACCGCCCGAGCCACCUGUCCUUCUGGCCCGCGUGAGCUUUCUCCGCUCUUUGCUUUCCAAGGCGCCAGCGGAGGGGAGAGUCUUGUCACCGCUUCCUCCUCCUCGGCUGGUGCAGUUUGUGGCCAUCUGCAGGCCGAGGCCAGCGAAGCAGCGAAAGGCUGAAAAUCAUGCCUCCAGGGGAGCAGGUUUCCCCUGCCCCUCCCACCCCUGUUAAGGUCACGUUGGUUUGUGCAGCCCAAUCCGUGCCUGUCUGGCUGUGUUUAAGACAUGGAUGGGGCCUCCUCAGAACCUGUGCUCCCACCCCCGCCCCACAGUCAUGGGUCCUGUGCUAUGCCCGCCCCUCCCCCAACCUCCCCACCUCCCCCUGUGGAUGUGGCCUGAGGACGGAGGCAGGAAGGAUGAGUCUCGGGUGCAAAGUGGAUGGCGGUUGUUGAAAAUGAGUGGGUGAGCUUGGCAUAGAUCGGUCUUCGGAGGGGACGAUUAUCUGGGGCAUGAGGCUUCCGUGACACGUCUGGCACGGAGAGUCACCCUCCCUCACCUGGAUGACUGAGCCUCCCCUCCCACCCCCCUGGGGCUGCUCUCCCCAUGUGCCUGAGGUGAUCUUUCUAGAGGCAGAUCUUGCCCUGGCACCUCCCUGCCUAGAAUCCAUCCCAAGCUCCGGGAGCCUCGGGGAUGACUUGGCGUGUCCACUGGGAUCUAUGCCAUGUCUCCCAACUCUCUGUCAGCCUUGCCCUCGGUGGCUGUGGUAUGGACUUUUCCCACCUGGCCCCUGAAGAUGCUGUUAGAUUGUAUAUUGAAUGCGAACCAUCGGGACUCUUGUGAACGCUAGCAUUGCCUGGGGAGUAAAUGAUCUCAAGUACCACAUUGUGGGAGGGGUCUUUGAAAAUCACUGGAAUCCAGAAUGAUCCCUCUUUGUCCCAAAUGGUCAAAAAUCUCCACUCGGGCUCGAGUCCUGUCCAUCCUUUGCUCUCGCCCUGUCCCAAGCCAUUUCUUACCCCCCAUGCUUUGCCUCAUGCUGAGCCCAGAAGGUCCCACCAUCACUGGAGCACACUUAGUUCUCAGGCACCAUGAUAUGUCAAAAUCCUGUGUUUCUGGGUCUGUCUUCUCCGUCCUAGACAGUGGACCUCUUGAGAAGAGGAGCUCUGUGGGGCCGAUCUCUGGGUCAGAAGCUGGCGGAGUGUUGGCGCCCAGGUCACACACUGCAUGUCGCCUCUCUGGACCCCAGGACUCUGCCUUGUGUGGGUUCUGUUCUCUGGACCGUAGUGGUUCUAAACUGAGCUCUGGUCCCUGUGUAUGCCCUGUGGUUUAUGACUUAAUAUGCUGAAAAUAGACAGUUGUGUUUCAUUUUCACUUGGGAAGAAAUAAAAGGAGUGGAAAUCUAGAGAUUUCUCUGACCUGGAGGUGCCUGGUAGAGUGGUCACUUAGUAAAUACUUUGCAAAUGAAUGCUCAGGAGAAUAGGCACUUUGGAGCCUCUAGUGCUUGGUGAUGAGCCCAUGGCUUGUUAAUUUGUAAGACACCAUUUCCCCUGUGAAAAUCUUAGUGUGGGGGAAUGCUUUUUGUGGGGAAUGCUGGCUUGGACUGACACAGGCUUUGCGGGGGCAGUCUUGAAAAAUUGAGUCAUUUUUCUCUGCCUGGGGCCGGGGUGACCUUGCAUAAGUCGCUGAGCUGGGCCUCGUGAUUGCUUUCUAUAAAAUGGGUGGAAGGUGGGAGUGGCCCGUGUGGCUGCCGAGAGUUUUCUGCUCUCGCGCUGCAUCUCGCUCUCUGAUCGUCCUUCUUGGCGAUUGGAUACAGACCAUGUCCCUAAGGUUCACUCACGGAGCUGGAAUUCUCCCUGGCCUCUCUGAGUGCUUUCCAGUGGGUGGAAUGCCUAGUUUCUCAGUAGCCGGGAGAAAUGUUAAUUUGGGGUUAGGAAAGCAAGCCAAGAGCCAUCGAAUAAUUAAAACACACACACACGCAGAGAAAGGAAAGCGAGAGGGGGAGAAGCACACUUAAUGGCCAGGGGAUGAGUAAAGCCCAGUGACCUGAGCGAGCCUGGAGCUGAACUUCACAUGACCCCGCGUACUGCCUGCCGUUGCGACACCCGCGUGCCCUCUGCGUGCCGCCGGCCUCUCGGUGAUGUCAGCGGGCCGUGGCCCCACAGGAAGCUGGGCUGCCAUCUGCCUGGUGGAGCGCGCGAAGCUAAGCCAGUCUCCCUCCAUGGCCCAGGUCCCAGCCCCCCGUGUCCCCGGACGGCAAGAAGCCACAGCUCCCAGGCUAGUCGGAGCUGGAAACCCACCCGGCGCUUCUCAGAAGAACAGAACCCCAACCCACCAGCGAGAACGAGAGGACCAAGAGGGGAUUGGUUUUUGUUUUUUUGUUUUUUGUUUUUUGGGUUUUUUUAGGGGCUCUUGGCCUGAAAUCACAUUUCUU
Ailuropoda melanoleuca (giant panda) is the source of this 22544-nucleotide long non-coding RNA. RefSeq lists it as uncharacterized. The transcript is spliced from 3 exons. NCBI's taxonomy places the organism in Eukaryota, Metazoa, Chordata, Mammalia, Carnivora, Ursidae. The record is from RefSeq and is a predicted model, not a curated record.